RNAcentral lists this ribosomal RNA (275 nucleotides) under uncultured Bacillota bacterium. Its description in RNAcentral is "uncultured Firmicutes bacterium partial 16S ribosomal RNA". It matches the Rfam family "Bacterial small subunit ribosomal RNA", at positions 1073 to 1328 of the family's 1533-position model. Lineage: Bacteria; Bacillati; Bacillota. The record is from RNAcentral.
UGUUGGGUUAAGUCCCGCAACGAGCGCAACCCUUGAUCUUAGUUGCCAUCAUUUAGUUGGGCACUCUAAGGUGACUGCCGGUGACAAACCGGAGGAAGGUGGGGAUGACGUCAAAUCAUCAUGCCCCUUAUGACCUGGGCUACACACGUGCUACAAUGGUCGCAAAGAGCUGCAAGACCGCGAGGUGGAUUUAAACUUUAAAAAACCGUUCUCAGUUCGGAUGUAGGCUGCAACUCGCCACAGAAGCUGAUCGCUAACAGUAUUAAAGGUUGGUU